This 864-nucleotide ribosomal RNA is filed under the name Alexandrium tamarense. RNAcentral describes it as "partial Bacterial large subunit ribosomal RNA". It matches the Rfam family "Bacterial large subunit ribosomal RNA", at positions 1112 to 1978 of the family's 2925-position model. The record is from RNAcentral. Lineage: Eukaryota; Dinophyceae; Gonyaulacales; Pyrocystaceae.
GCAGCCAUCAUUUAAAGAAAGCGUAAUAGCUCACUGAUCGAGUCGUCCUGCGCGGAAGAUGUACCGGGGCUAAAUUGGUAACCGAAGCUGCGGAUGCAUGCUUGCAUGCAUGGUAGAGGAGCGUUCUGUAAGCCGUUGAAGGUGAACCGAGAGGUUUGCUGGAGGUAUCAGAAGUGCGAAUGCUGACAUGAGUAGCGAUAAAGAGUGUGAAAGGCACUCUCGCCGAAAGCCCAAGGUUUCCUGUGCAACGCUAAUCGGCGCAGGGUGAGUCGGCCCCUAAGGCGAGGGUGAAAACCGUAGCUGAUGGGAAGCAGGUUAAUAUUCCUGCACCAUUGUUCAAUGCGAUGGGGGGACGAAGAAGGUUAGCUCAGCCGGGUGUUGGAUGUCCUGGUUUAAGCAUGUAGCCGUGCCUGGUAGGCAAAUCCGCCGGGCUUAGGUGAGGUGUGAUGACGAGAGGGCUUGCCCUCGAAGUGAGUGAUACCCAGCUUCCAAGAAAAGCCUCUAAGCUUCAGUUGAACAAGACCGUACCGCAAACCGACACUGGUGCGCGUGCUGAAUAUGCUCAGGCGCUUGAGAGAACUCAGGAGAAGGAACUCGGCAAAUUGAUACCGUAACUUCGGGAGAAGGUAUGCCGCUAGUAGGUGAAGGAGUACAUCCGGAGCCAAACGCGGUCUCAGAGAAUCGGUGGCUGCGACUGUUUAUCAAAAACACAGCACUCUGCAAACACGAAAGUGGACGUAUAGGGUGUGACGCCUGCCCGGUGCCGGAAGGUUAAGUGAUGGGGUGCAAGCUCUUGAUCGAAGUCCCAGUAAACGGCGGCCGUAACAAUAACGGUCCUAAGGUAGCGAAAUUCCUUGUCGGGUA